CUUUCUAUUAUCUUUAAAUUUUUUUAUUUUUUUUAUUUCACGUCGAGAUUUAGGUAAUUUUUUUAUUAUUAUUAAAUAUUCUCCAUGAAUCUUUUUGGCCUAUGAGGCAUUGUUAAGUUGGCCUAUAAUUAUGUGUAAUCUUGGGCCAUGCUUUUAUUAAAAUUAUAAGCCCAUGCAACUUAGCCCAUUUUGAUAACAUGAGUUAUGUUAUUCAGCGUGGACAUCUUCUUCUUCCUAUUUAUGCUUAUGUUUCAUCCUUAUUGCAAACCUAAAUUUCCUUCUUUUAUUUUCUGCAAUAACCCUAGCCGUCCCUCAUACUCCAAAUCUCUCUGAAUUCUCACGUCAAAUUCAUCAUCUUCUUAUCUGCAAAUUCGCACCAAAUCGAGAUCUGUUUGUUUGAUGCCGUAGCUAACUCAGUCCUUUUCGAUUCUACGUUUGAAAUUUGUAUUUUGACUCGUCAACUACUGGUGCUUCGGAGUCAAAUCAGGUUUUGUCGGUUGUCAGGUUUUUCACGUGGAUUAGCAAGCAGUUUAUGAUUUGAAAGCUGGUCCACUCCGAUUCUUUUGAUUCUUCGGAGGUUUUUAUGUUAUUUAAACUAGUUACUGUUUUCGAACUCUUAGACCGCAGUAGAACUAGUUUAUAUAUUACAUUCAAUAUUACCCUUUGGGAUAGUCGAAUUUGAUCGACUAUUUAUUAUUGGCAUGUUUACUCUGGAAUAUUUUAUUAUUAUAUUUAAAGCAUGCUGUGGAAUAUUCAGAUA
Mercurialis annua (annual mercury) is the source of this 760-nucleotide long non-coding RNA. RefSeq lists it as uncharacterized. The transcript is spliced from 4 exons. The record is from RefSeq and is a predicted model, not a curated record. Lineage: Eukaryota; Viridiplantae; Streptophyta; Magnoliopsida; Malpighiales; Euphorbiaceae.